This 492-nucleotide ribosomal RNA is filed under the name uncultured bacterium. Its description in RNAcentral is "partial 16S ribosomal RNA". It matches the Rfam family "Bacterial small subunit ribosomal RNA", at positions 30 to 507 of the family's 1533-position model. The record is from RNAcentral.
AGUGAACGCUGGCGGCAGGCUUAACACAUGCAAGUCGAACGGCAGUACAGUAAGAGCUCGCUCUUACGGGUGGCGAGUGGCGGACGGGUGAGGAGUACAUCUGAAUCGACUUUUUCGUGGGGGUCAACGUAGGGUAACCUACGCUAAUACUGGAUAAGACGUACGGGUUAAAGCACGGGAUCUUCGGAGGUUGCGCGAAUGAAUGAGCCGAUGUCGGAUUUGAUAGUUGGCGGGGUAAAGGCCCAUCAAGGCGACGAGCCGUAGCUGGCCUGCGAGGAUGAUCAGCGACACUGGAGGUGAGACACGGUGCAGACUCCUCCAGGAGGCGGCGGAGGGGAAUAUUGGGCAAUGGGCGCGGGCCUGUUCCGGCCAGACCGCGUGGGUGAGGAAGGCCUUCGGGUGUUGAAGCCCUUUUGUUGGGGAGGAAAAGCAGCAGGUUGAGACCCCGCGGUUCUGACGGUACCCAAAGAAGAAGCACCGGCUAACUACGUG